CCUUCGGGUUGUAAAGUACUUUCAGUCAGUGAGGAAGGUGGAUAUGUUAAUAGCAUAUUCAUUUGACGUUAGCUGCAGAAGAAGCACCGGCUAACUCCGUGCCAGCAGCCGCGGUAAUACGGAGGGUGCGAGCGUUAAUCGGAAUUACUGGGCGUAAAGCGCAUGCAGGUGGUUUGUUAAGUCAGAUGUGAAAGCCCGGGCUCAACCUCGGAAUUGCAUUUGAAACUGGCAAACUAGAGUACUGUAGAGGGGGUAGAAUUUCAGGUGUAGCGGUGAAAUGCGUAGAGAUCUGAAGGAAUACCGGUGGCGAAGGCGGCCCCCGUGGACAGAUACUGACACUCUAGAUGCGAAAGCGUGGGGAGCAAACAGGAUUAGAUACCCUGGUAG
This 387-nucleotide ribosomal RNA is filed under the name uncultured bacterium. Its description in RNAcentral is "bacterial SSU rRNA". It matches the Rfam family "Bacterial small subunit ribosomal RNA", at positions 415 to 793 of the family's 1533-position model. The record is from RNAcentral.